This is a long non-coding RNA of Salvelinus namaycush (lake trout), 2186 nucleotides long. RefSeq lists it as uncharacterized. The transcript has 2 exons. The record is from RefSeq and is a predicted model, not a curated record. NCBI's taxonomy places the organism in Eukaryota, Metazoa, Chordata, Actinopteri, Salmoniformes, Salmonidae.
UUCAAUGCGAAGGUAAUGUCACGCUGCAUGAGGAAAAUGGUGGUCACACCAGAUACUGACUGGUUUAAUGAUCCAUGUCCCUAACCCUUUUGAAGGUAUUUGUGUCCAAAUGAUGCAUAUCUGUAUUCCCAGUCAUGUGAAAUCCAUAGAUUAGGACCUAAAUUAAUUUAUUUCAGUUGACUGAUUGCCUUUUAUAUGAACUGUAACUCAGUAAAAUAUUAGAAAUUGUUGCAUGUUACGUUUUCUAUUUCAGUGUAUUUAUGUUUACCACGUGAUGAAAACAGUUGGAUCUGGUAUAAAUGUCUUGUAAAGCCUCACUCAUGGUGUUUUCUGAAACGUCACUGUCUGUAUUUAUCAGGAUGGGACAUCCUUUCUAUUUUGUGACCAUGUAGGAUUGGAGUGUGACAGGUCUGUCUUGUUUGGUGGCUUGUCCUUCAGUUCCUACCACCUACCUCACUGGAUACACAGUAAAUAGCUGUCCUAUUAGUGGAACAUGAGCAUGAUUUAGGCUUAACUUACUGGUGGUAUAACAUAAUAAAUACCAUAAGAAAUGUAUUAAUUGAAAUGUAUUUUUACAAGGAUAGUGCCCAUUAUUCAAUAUGACUAUAGAAGUGCCCGUUUUAGCCAGCUGGCUAAUUUUUAACUGCAGUCCCAAUUUGCUUCCCCUUUCAUGUCCUCCAUGUGCAGGUUCCCUCCAUCAGAGCGCCCUGUCCUGGUGCCCUGUCCUGGCUCUGUCCUGGUGCCCCAGCUCAGUUCCCUGUGAUACAGGAGUAUAUGGGUCUGCAGCAGUAUGUAGUGUAGGAGAGCGGAACAGGAACCACAUCGCUACCCAGGCCAUAUGUGGGCGUACAGCUGAGGAUUGGCUCUGGUUGGAUGAGCUGGGAACACACACAUACACACACUUGUCCCGUGUGGCUCAGUCAAUGAGCUGGGAACACAAAUACACACACUUGGUCCGUGUGGCUCAGUCAAUGAGCUGGGAACACAAAUACACACACUCGGCCCGUGUGGCUCAGUCAAUGAGCUGGGAACACACAAAUACACACACUUGGUCCGUGUGGCUCAGUCGGUAAAGCAUGACCAUGGGUUAUAACACCAUGACCAUGUGCUUCCCGGAUCUGGCUGAGAUCUGCCGGGACCUCAAGCUCUGGGUCAAGAGAACCUCUACCCGUUCUGUUUACAUCACCACAGUCCCACCUCGCUGAGAUCCGCCGGGCCCUCAAGCUCUGGGUCAAGAGAACCUCUACCCGUUCUGUUUACAUCACCACAGUCCCACCUCGCUGAGAUCCGCCGGGCCCUCAAGCUCUGGGUCAAGAGAAGCUCUACCCGUUCUGUUUACAUCACCACAGUCCCACCUCGCUGAGAUCCGCCGGGCCCUCAAGCUCUGGGUCAAGAGAAGCUCUACACGUUAUUUACAUCGCCACAGUCCCAACUCGCUGAGAUCCGCAGGGCCCUCAAGCUCUGGGUCAAGAGAAGCUCUACACGUUAUUUACAUCGCCACAGUCCCACCUCGCUGAGAUCCGCCGGGCCCUCAAGCUCUGGGUCAAGAGAAGCUCUACACGUUAUUUACAUCGCCACAGUCCCAACUCGCUGAGAUCCGCAGGGCCCUCAAGCUCUGGGUCAAGAGAACCUCUACCCGUUCUGUUUACAUCGCCACAGUCCCACCUCGCUGAGAUCCGCAGGGCCCUCAAGCUCUGGGUCAAGAGAACCUCUACCCGUUCUGUUUACAUCGCCACAGUCCCAACUCGCUGAGAUCCAAAAGUUCUUCCAAUAAGGUGAAGGUGGUGAGCUUCAAGCCAGACUUGGCCCAGAUGGACUUGUACAUACUAAGCCAGUCUGACCACUUCGUUGGGAAUUGUGUGUCAUCCUCUUCCUGCUUUUGUCAAACGAGACCGUGAUGUCCAUGCCCCGUCGUCGUCUUUCUUCGGGAAUGGACUACGCUGGAAAAUUUUAACAAGCAAGACGAGCUGUGAAGAUUUGCCCUUCCUGGGUAGUCCAUGACAAAUUGCUUUUAGAAUUUUAGAAUGGCUUUUGAAUCUUGGGUGAGGAGGAGGACAUUGCAGUGUGGGAAUGUGAUCUUGUACUCCACACUCACUAUUACAGUGAUGUAGUGAUAAAAAUGUUUUUAGUAAACUCUGAUCACCGUUCGCGGUGAAUAAAGUCAAGCUCCCAUUUUUUCAGCUGAA